GAUGAGCCCGCGGCCUAUCAGCUUGUUGGUGGGGUGACGGCCUACCAAGGCGACGACGGGUAGCCGGCCUGAGAGGGCGACCGGCCACACUGGGACUGAGACACGGCCCAGACUCCUACGGGAGGCAGCAGUGGGGAAUAUUGCACAAUGGGCGAAAGCCUGAUGCAGCGACGCCGCGUGAGGGAUGACGGCCUUCGGGUUGUAAACCUCUUUCAGCAGGGAAGACGCGAAAGUGACGGUACCUGCAGAAGAAGCACCGGCUAACUACGUGCCAGCAGCCGCGGUAAUACGUAGGGUGCGAGCGUUGUCCGGAAUUAUUGGGCGUAAAGAGCUCGUAGGCGGCUUGUCACGUCGGAUGUGAAAGCCCGGGGCUUAACCCCGGGUCUGCAUUCGAUACGGGCAGGCUAVAGUUCGGUAGGGGAGAUCGGAAUUCCUGGUGUAGCGGUGAAAUGCGCAG
RNAcentral lists this ribosomal RNA (457 nucleotides) under uncultured Streptomyces sp. Its description in RNAcentral is "bacterial SSU rRNA". It matches the Rfam family "Bacterial small subunit ribosomal RNA", at positions 224 to 693 of the family's 1533-position model. The record is from RNAcentral. Lineage: Bacteria; Bacillati; Actinomycetota; Actinomycetes; Kitasatosporales; Streptomycetaceae.